RNAcentral lists this transfer RNA (67 nucleotides) under Anaorotermes echinocolon. RNAcentral's name for it is "tRNA-Asn". The record is from RNAcentral. Lineage: Eukaryota; Metazoa; Arthropoda; Insecta; Blattodea; Termitidae.
UUAACUGAAACCAAAACAGAGGUAUAUUAUUGUUAAUAAUAAAAUUGAGUAAAGUACUCCAGUUAAG